Non-coding RNA from Podarcis lilfordi (Lilford's wall lizard), 93 nucleotides. NCBI's taxonomy places the organism in Eukaryota, Metazoa, Chordata, Lepidosauria, Squamata, Lacertidae. The record is from the annotation of a GenBank genome assembly.
UCACUUGCUGUGGUGCCAGUGAGAUAUAUCUAUAUCUAUAUCUAUAUCUAUAUCUAUAUCUAUAUCUAUAAUCACUGGCACCACAGCAAGUGA